GUACAUAUUUUGUCGGAGUUUCAACCAAAUUAUCUUGCAACGGAUAUAGUACUGAAAGAGUAAGAACUGGCCUGGCAACCCUGUCUAGCAAAGCUGAUACAAAGGUUUAAGCUUAUCAAAUCUACUGAUAAAACAAUGGACAAUGGAGAAACCAGCUAAUAAAAAACAAAUAAACAGGUUGUUAAAUAAAUCGAAAAUUUCCAGCAAAAUAAAAUAUAAAAUAAUAAGAAAAAAGUAAGGUUAUAAAGUAAAUUCUUUUUUUUGCUCCUGAAGUUGCCGUAAACGUGUCACACAUCUAUAGAACUAUACGUAAAGGCCCUGGGGUCGUGAGAGACAACUACCUAGUCGGCCAGAAAACCCAUGGGCGUAAAUUAGUUUAGCAUUAUAACGUUUUUAAGUAGUUG
Diabrotica virgifera virgifera (western corn rootworm) is the source of this 404-nucleotide long non-coding RNA. RefSeq lists it as uncharacterized. NCBI's taxonomy places the organism in Eukaryota, Metazoa, Arthropoda, Insecta, Coleoptera, Chrysomelidae. The transcript is spliced from 2 exons. The record is from RefSeq and is a predicted model, not a curated record.